UCAUCUAUUGAAAGAUACUUUGUAGAAAAUGAGUGAACCUUAAUUAUGUAAUUAUUACUCAACAUUUUGUAUCUAUGAUCUGUCUGUCUGUUAUACAACUUAACAACUUAUUGUGAUUGUUUUUGUCACAUUUAGAUUUCUCAAGAUCAUCAGUUUGGACAGAAUUCAUUUGAAGAAUUAAUAGCACUAGCAGGUUCCAAUAAAGGCUGGAACAGAACAGACAGAAAAGAAUCUGUCAGAAGAAAUUCAACUACUGUUCGUGCACCAGAUGGUGAAGUAGAAAAGUUCGUAAAAACUUCUGCAGCUUGCAUCUGACAGAGAUGCAAAAAGAAUAAGAGAGCGGGCCUGAAAACAAGCAAAUUCAAGGGUACACUUGAGGAGUGUCCAGAUGUUUAUUAAUGUUUUAUUAAUGUAAUGUUAUGUUUCAAAUAAACAUGUAAACAUACUGUAUAUUUUUCUUUCUUUUUUAAACACC
Molecule: long non-coding RNA, 475 nt
Organism: Paramisgurnus dabryanus
Lineage: Eukaryota; Metazoa; Chordata; Actinopteri; Cypriniformes; Cobitidae
Source: RefSeq, a predicted model, not a curated record